This 757-nucleotide long non-coding RNA is filed under the name Anas platyrhynchos platyrhynchos (common mallard). RNAcentral's name for it is "lncRNA (ENSAPLG00000022080.1)". Lineage: Eukaryota; Metazoa; Chordata; Aves; Anseriformes; Anatidae. The record is from RNAcentral.
UUCUUAAACAGAAGAUGGCAGAACCUGAAGACCUCUUCUGCCAGAAGGCAGCAGAAAAAAAAAAAAACAAGGGCUGUGGAGGAUUAGUAGCACCUGUGAUCACAUCAAGCCUAUGGAAAUAAUGGAGGCCAUGCUUGCCUAGCUGACUACCAGCCACACAUCCCAGCUUGCUGAGUGGCAGCCCACAGAUCCUGCCAAGAGAAAAGAUCCCAUUUCUCCUCCUCUCCUCAGUGCAGCGUUCAUCCCCAGCUCACUGAAAAGCAUCCUGUUGCACCUCAGUGUGGAAAUCAUCUUUGGUUGGUUCAGGUUUCACCUGCAUCAAGUUUUUUACUGGGAAGCAGCAAGUCUCAAGAUCCAGCUCCAAUGUCACUUGUCACUUGUAAUGUCACUUAUAUACUUGCACCGUAGUCUGACAGCCUAAGUUAAAUAGUUAGGAUUAUCAGAACAUGAAUGUUUAUGUUUUCUAUCCUGAUUUACAUACAACCACUCCUGUAACUUCAGAAAACAUUAUCAACAGAGUUUGAUUAAAAUAUGAACAUUUAAAGAAGAGUUAUCUCAAGAUAAUAUACUUCAAGCUAUUGAGCUGCAUUCAUUGAAAGAAAAGGUGCAGGAUGCUUCUGUUUACUGUGCACAGAGGCCAUGUAUAGGCAAAGAGAAGGAGAUCGUUUCCAACCAACUAGAAAAUGUUAUAAUGGUGUAUAAAAGUCAGAAAAUCUUAAGAAAUAAAUCAACUUCAGAAGUUAAAUAGGAUUUGCUG